Molecule: ribosomal RNA, 362 nt
Filed under: Halalaimus sp. 2P3I20
Lineage: Eukaryota; Metazoa; Nematoda; Enoplea; Enoplida; Oxystominidae
Description: SSU rRNA
Rfam family: Eukaryotic small subunit ribosomal RNA
Source: RNAcentral
AGAUUAAGCCAUGCAUGUAUCAGCACAAGCCUAAAAAUGGUGAAGCCGCGAAUAGCUCAUUACAACAGUCGAAGUUUAUUAGAAAUUGUAUGGAUAACUGUGGUAAUCCUAGAGCUAAUACAUGUUCCAAGCCCUGACUUAACGGAAGGGUGCAUUUAUUAGAACAAAGCCGAUCAGUCUCUGCAGGUUGACUCUGAAUAACUUUGCUAAUCGCACAGUCUUUGCACUGGCGAUGUAUCUUUCUCUGCCCUAUCAACUGUUGAUGGUAGAUUAUGCGCCUACCAUGGUUGUAACGGGUAACGGAGAAUCAGGGUUUGAUUCCGGAGAGGGAGCCUGAGAAACAGCUACCACAUCCAAGGAAG